GCGGGAGGAAAGGGGGCCGGUAACGGGGGGCGUCGUGGUGAGCAGCACUCCACAACCCAGGACUUAAUUCCCGGUAGCGGGAAGCCGGGGCGGCAGGCUGGCCCGGGCACCCGGCCCUGGGCUGCCUGAGGGGUCUGGAAAUGUCCUCGCGCAGAGAGUCCUGCUCCGACCGGGAGGCGACAGAGCGGCCUGCCUGCGCUCCCGCUUCAUGGUUUAAACUCAUCUCUUCGUCCUUCCUCCACAAGUGAUUCCCAAUACAAGAUGAACCAGUAUGUCACAACAAGAAGGUAGCUGCUGAUUUUUACCUGAUUCUUCAUCCGCAGACACCAGGGUUGUGGACAAGAUCAACUGUUACAAAGACCACUAUCGCAAAGAAGAAGAAGUCCCUAAGGUCACCUAUAAGCCAGUUUUAUCGUGCUCCCGAGCCUGCUGCCAGGUUCAGUCACGUUUGACAAAGAUGUUGAGCUCUGCAAGACUCUAUUUUUCCAAAUGCUACUUGAGCAGAGGGCUGGGCAGAGAAGAAACCCGCAUCAGCUCCACAAAGGACCCUCGGCCCUGACUGGCUUUUAACGUGAUUCUUGUUCGGCUUCCCCCAGCUCUCACUGGGCCGGCGCGUGCCGAACGCAAGGGGGGCGGCCUGCUCCACUCCAUCCCUUCCCUCUCCCCCGGGGAGCUCCCCCGGCCUGCAGGCAGCCCGGACGUCUGGCAUCCAGAGAAGUGGGAAGACAACCAACCCGCUCACAGUCCCAGUUCCAGCUGCUGGGUUCGCAUGUACAGUGUUGGGUACCCCAGCGGUCCUUUCAGCAUGCUGUAGGGAAUUUUGUUUAUAUUGCUGGUCAAGAGAGAGAGUUACAGGCCUUCACAUUCUUUAAUUUUGGCCCAUGUGAGGAAAGCUAGACCUCUGAAAAAUUGUCUGCCUUAACUUAUGUAUAUAUACAUGCAUAUAAAAAAGUAUAUGUAUGUGUGUGUGUGCAUAUAUGCGCGCGCGCACACACACACACACACACACACACACACACACUUUUCCUCUUAUACAGGCAGUGACAGAGGGAAUUCAACUUUUAUAAAAAUAUAAAAAAUGGCUGUGGAGCUUUUGCAACGUUCGGUGGUUCAGAUCAGCCGAGCAAUCAAAGGGCAAGGCAGGGGUAUGCGUGCCUUUUCAUUGCCUGUUAUAAACAAUCAAACUCAGACUUUGCCCCAUGCAGAAGUCUGAGUUAUAAACAAGCUCUGCUGCUAUCAUAUUACCAUCCUGAGGCUGAUUUAUAUAAACUGCCUUUGGAGCUCUGAUUAGGCUCAAAAAAGCAUGUGCCGUGCAGGCAGACCAGGUUGUUGGAAUGCAAUUUUCAGUAACACCUCUCAUAAUUCACAUGCCUGCUAUUGGUGAAUUUCUGCUUCAGAAAGAUGCAAUGCAGUUUCUAAAAUACUUGAGAAGGAAGGCAGUUAAGCAGAUAAAGAUGGACUAGUCUUUUGUCUUUGAAGAGUCUGCGCCUCUAGUUUCUACAUACUGUAUAUUCAGAGGCUGCAAGUUGUCUUUGGCAAAUUGCUGGAGGGACAAAUAAAUGCAUUGUAAUGUUAA
This is a long non-coding RNA of Rhea pennata, 1576 nucleotides long. RefSeq lists it as uncharacterized. The transcript has 4 exons. The record is from RefSeq and is a predicted model, not a curated record. Lineage: Eukaryota; Metazoa; Chordata; Aves; Rheiformes; Rheidae.